AAGAAGAUGAUAAACU
This 16-nucleotide small RNA is filed under the name Arabidopsis thaliana (thale cress). Its description in RNAcentral is "ATSL306580". Lineage: Eukaryota; Viridiplantae; Streptophyta; Magnoliopsida; Brassicales; Brassicaceae. The record is from RNAcentral.